RNAcentral lists this long non-coding RNA (501 nucleotides) under Homo sapiens (human). RNAcentral describes it as "HSALNT0228609". The record is from RNAcentral. Lineage: Eukaryota; Metazoa; Chordata; Mammalia; Primates; Hominidae.
UUUCCCCAGAGUCCCCAAAGUCCAUUAUAUCAUUCUUACGCUAUUGCAUCCUCAUAACUCAACUCCCAGCAACCACUAUUUUACUAUAUUCACAACACUCAAUACUCUGGGUCUCCAGAUGUAAGGGAUCUUUUCCCCCACAUUGACCAAUUCUCCAACAUCAGUUGAGUAUCCUAUGAUUUAAUUCAGUCUGACAUUAUCUCCGUGGAGGCAGCAUCAUAUCCCACAGGUUAAUGACUCAGUCCCACAAGACUCUUUCCCAUCUCAAAUGCUAAUCACAAGUCCAGGCUGUCACCUGCGCAUAUGACCAAAUGGCUACAAAUCAGAGGUUCCCAUGACCCUUCCUUGGGUUUAGUAAUUUGCUAUGAUGGCUCACAGAGUGCAAGAAAACACUUACUUACAUUUCCCAGCUUAUUAUAAAAGAUAUGAUAAAAGUUACAGAUGAAUAGCUAGCCAGAUGAAGAGGUACAUAGGGUGAGGUCCACAAGGUCCCAAGUGCAG